This 460-nucleotide ribosomal RNA is filed under the name uncultured bacterium. RNAcentral's name for it is "bacterial SSU rRNA". It matches the Rfam family "Bacterial small subunit ribosomal RNA", at positions 977 to 1434 of the family's 1533-position model. The record is from RNAcentral.
GGGCUUGACAUCCCACGAACCUGCCCGAAAGGGUAGGGUGCCCGCAAGGGAGCGUGGAGACAGGUGGUACAUGGCUGUCGUCAGCUCGUGUCGUGAGAUGUUGGGUUAAGUCCCGCAACGAGCGCAACCCUCACCCCUAGUUGCCACCGGGUAAUGCCGAGCACUCGAGGGGAACUGCCAGCGUCAAGCUGGAGGAAGGCGGGGAUGACGUCAAGUCAUCAUGCCCCUUACGCCCUGGGCUACACACGUGCUACAAUGGCCAGUACAAAGGGAUGCGAGACCGUAAGGUGGAGCUAAUCCCAAAAAGCUGGUCUAAGUUCAGAUCGCAGUCUGCAACUCGACUGCAUGAAGGAGGAAUCGCUAGUAAUCGCGCAUCAGCACGGCGCGGUGAAUACGUUCCCGGGCCUUGUACACACCGCCCGUCACACCACGAAAGCUGGCUGUACUCGAAGUCGCUGAG